GUUGUAUGGUUAAGURAUUAAGCGUAGACGGUGGAUGCCUUGGCAGUCAGAGGCGAUGAAGGACGUACUAACCUGCGAAAAGCGAUGGUGAGCUGGUAAGAAGCAUUUGAGCCAUCGAUGUCCGAAUGGGGAAACCCACCUGCAUAAGCAGGUAUCUUAGCGUGAAUACAUAGCGCUAAGAGGCGAACUCGGGGAACUGAAACAUCUAAGUACCAUAAGCGUAGACGGUGGAUGCCUUGGCAGUCAGAGGCGAUGAAGGACGUACUAACCUGCGAAAAGCGAUGGUGAGCUGGUAAGAAGCAUUUGAGCCAUCGAUGUCCGAAUGGGGAAACCCACCUGCAUAAGCAGGUAUCUUAGCGUGAAYACAUAGCGCUAAGAGGCGAACUCGGGGAACUGAAACAUCUAAGUACCCGAAGGAAAAGAAAUCAAUUGAGAUUCCGGCAGUAGCGGCGAGCGACCCCGGAGCAGCCCUUAAGCGGCUUAGGCGUUAGGUGAACAGGUUGGAAAACCUGGCAAUAAAGGGUGAUAGCCCCGUAACCGACGGCGCCUUAGRCGUGAAAACGAGUAAGACGGGACACGUGAUAUCUUGUCUGAAUAGGGGGGGACCAUCCUCCAAGGCUAAAUACUCCUGACUGACCGAUAGUGAACCAGUACCGUGAGGGAAAGGCGAAAAGAACCCCUGUGAGGGGAGUGAAAUAGAACCUGAAACCGUCUACGUACAAGCAGUGGGAGCCUCUUUUAUGGGGUGACCGCGUACCUUUUGUAUAAUGGGUCAGCGACUUAAUGUAAGUAGCCAGGGGCGAACAGGCGAACUCGGGGAACUGAAACAUCUAAGUACCCGAAGGAAAAGAAAUCAAUUGAGAUUCCGGCAGUAGCGGCGAGCGACCCCGGAGCAGCCCUUAAGCGGCUUAGGCGUUAGGUGAACAGGUUGGAAAACCUGGCAAUAAAGGGUGAUAGCCCCGUAACCGACGGCGCCUUAGRCGUGAAAACGAGUARGACGRGACACGUGAUAUCUUGUCUGAAYAUGGGGGGACCAUCCUCCAAGGCUAAAUACUCCUGACUGACCGAUAGUGAACCAGUACCGUGAGGGAAAGGCGAAAAGAACCCCUGUGAGGGGAGUGAAAUAGAACCUGAAACCGUCUACGUACAAGCAGUGGGAGCCUCUUUUAUGGGGUGACCGCGUACCUUUUGUAUAAUGGGUCAGCGACUUAAUG
Molecule: ribosomal RNA, 1214 nt
Filed under: Salinivibrio kushneri
Lineage: Bacteria; Pseudomonadati; Pseudomonadota; Gammaproteobacteria; Vibrionales; Vibrionaceae
Description: bacterial LSU rRNA
Rfam family: Bacterial large subunit ribosomal RNA (bases 204-1214)
Source: RNAcentral